Heterocephalus glaber (naked mole-rat) is the source of this 556-nucleotide long non-coding RNA. The record is from Ensembl. NCBI's taxonomy places the organism in Eukaryota, Metazoa, Chordata, Mammalia, Rodentia, Bathyergidae.
CCUCUCUCUGGCCUCCGCAGGAAAGUAAAGGAGGUCACUCGGGCGCCCUCUCCCCAUCGAAGUUCAGGCCGAGCCCGAAACCCAGGCACUGCUCCCCUCCCGGGGCCGCCCCGCCUCGAGGAUCCUGUUUUGAGGACACCGGGAACUGGAUCCGAAUGUCUCAGAGCCAUAAAUCACCGAGUUUCCUACACUGGAACUUUUUAUCCCACUAGCGACGAGCACCCACCAUUCCUUCGUUAUUACUCCUACCUUCCCAGCUACUAAGGAAGGGUGAGGGCCGGAAAAGCUAAAGCGCCUAGCAGGCUUUCUCAUCUCCCGACCUUACCGAGUUUUAGCAAAACAAAACAUCAGAAGUACAGAGUCAUCAGCUCUGGCAGUGCCAAUUGGUGCGUGGGAGACAAAAGGGGCUGGGAGGUUGUCUAUGACUGUGCAAGAGACAAAAUAAGCAAAUAAAAUUCCUCCACUGUGCAAUCCUUUACGAGAAGAGGAUAGAACCAUCUUAUGCUAAAAAGAAAGAGGAAAGUCUAGCACUAAGAGAGGAAGCCCGCAGGAGGCC